RNAcentral lists this ribosomal RNA (497 nucleotides) under uncultured bacterium. RNAcentral's name for it is "partial 16S ribosomal RNA". It matches the Rfam family "Bacterial small subunit ribosomal RNA", at positions 28 to 507 of the family's 1533-position model. The record is from RNAcentral.
GAUGAACGCUGGCGGCGUGCCUAAUACAUGCAAGUCGAGCGAACAGAUGAGGAGCUUGCUCCUCUGACGUUAGCGGCGGACGGGUGAGUAACACGUGGAUAACCUACCUAUAAGACUGGGAUAACUUCGGGAAACCGGAGCUAAUACCGGAUAAUAUAUUGAACCGCAUGGUUCAAUAGUGAAUGACGGUUUUGCUGUCACUUAUAGAUGGAUCCGCGCCGCAUUAGCUAGUUGGUAAGGUAACGGCUUACCAAGGCAACGAUGCGUAGCCGACCUGAGAGGGUGAUCGGCCACACUGGAACUGAGACACGGUCCAGACUCCUACGGGAGGCAGCAGUAGGGAAUCUUCCGCAAUGGGCGAAAGCCUGACGGAGCAACGCCGCGUGAGUGAUGAAGGUCUUCGGAUCGUAAAGCUCUGUUGUUAGGGAAGAAAAGAUGUGUAAGUAACUAUGCACGUCUUGACGGUACCUAAUCAGAAAGCCACGGCUAACUACGUG